RNAcentral lists this ribosomal RNA (244 nucleotides) under Paracoccaceae bacterium. RNAcentral's name for it is "Rhodobacteraceae bacterium (marine metagenome) partial 16S ribosomal RNA". It matches the Rfam family "Bacterial small subunit ribosomal RNA", at positions 1 to 272 of the family's 1533-position model. The record is from RNAcentral. Lineage: Bacteria; Pseudomonadati; Pseudomonadota; Alphaproteobacteria; Rhodobacterales; Paracoccaceae.
UCAACUUGAGAGUUUGAUCCUGGCUCAGAACGAACGCUGGCGGCACGCCUAACACAUGCAAGUCGAGCGCGCCCUUCGGGGUGAGCGGCGGACGGGUUAGUAACGCGUGGGAACGUACCCUUCUCUACGGAAUAGCCAUUGGAAACGAUGAGUAAUACCGUAUACGCCCUUUGGGGGAAAGAUUUAUCGGAGAAGGAUCGGCCCGCGUUAGAUUAGAUAGUUGGUGGGGUAAUGGCCUACCAAG